Molecule: transfer RNA, 77 nt
Filed under: Patescibacteria group bacterium
Lineage: Bacteria
Description: tRNA-Val
Rfam family: tRNA
About the family: Transfer RNA (tRNA) molecules are approximately 80 nucleotides in length. Their secondary structure includes four short double-helical elements and three loops (D, anti-codon, and T loops). Further hydrogen bonds mediate the characteristic L-shaped molecular structure. tRNAs have two regions of fundamental functional importance: the anti-codon, which is responsible for specific mRNA codon recognition, and the 3' end, to which the tRNAs corresponding amino acid is attached (by aminoacyl-tRNA synthetases). tRNAs cope with the degeneracy of the genetic code in two manners: having more than one tRNA (with a specific anti-codon) for a particular amino acid; and 'wobble' base-pairing, i.e. permitting non-standard base-pairing at the 3rd anti-codon position.
Source: RNAcentral
GGACGAUUAGCUCAGUUGGUUAGAGCGCUGUCCUCACACGACAGAGGCCGAAGGUUCAAAUCCUUCAUCGUCCACCA